Molecule: ribosomal RNA, 428 nt
Filed under: Bacteroidota bacterium
Lineage: Bacteria; Pseudomonadati; Bacteroidota
Description: Bacteroidetes bacterium partial 16S ribosomal RNA
Rfam family: Bacterial small subunit ribosomal RNA
Source: RNAcentral
UAGGGAAUCUUCCGCAAUGGACGCAAGUCUGACGGAGCAACGCCGCGUGAGUGAAGAAGGAUUUCGGUUCGUAAAACUCUGUUGUUAGAGAAGAACAGCGCAUAGAGUAACUGUUAUGCGUGUGACGGUAUCUAACCAGAAAGCCACGGCUAACUACGUGCCAGCAGCCGCGGUAAUACGUAGGUCCCGAGCGUUGUCCGGAUUUAUUGGGCGUAAAGCGAGCGCAGGCGGUUAGAUAAGUCUGAAGUUAAAGGCAGUGGCUCAACCAUUGUAGGCUUUGGAAACUGUUUAACUUGAGUGCAGAAGGGGAGAGUGGAAUUCCAUGUGUAGCGGUGAAAUGCGUAGAUAUAUGGAGGAACACCGGUGGCGAAAGCGGCUCUCUGAUCUGUAACUGACGCUGAGGCUCGAAAGCGUGGGGAGCGAACAGG